GGAGCAUUACUCAAGUGGUCGUAAGAGGUCGCACUCGAAAUGCGAUAGGCCGGGAGACCGGUGCCAGGGUUCGACUCCCUGAUGCUCCG
Faecalibacterium prausnitzii is the source of this 89-nucleotide non-coding RNA. NCBI's taxonomy places the organism in Bacteria, Bacillati, Bacillota, Clostridia, Eubacteriales, Oscillospiraceae. The record is from Rfam.